UAGGGAAUCUUCCGCAAUGGACGCAAGUCUGACGGAGCAACGCCGCGUGAGUGAAGAAGGAUUUCGGUUCGUAAAACUCUGUUGUUAGAGAAGAACAGCGCAUAGAGUAACUGUUAUGCGUGUGACGGUAUCUAACCAGAAAGCCACGGCUAACUACGUGCCAGCAGCCGCGGUAAUACGUAGGUGGCAAGCGUUGUCCGGAUUUAUUGGGCGUAAAGCGAGCGCAGGCGGUCAAUUAAGUCUGAUGUGAAAGCCCCCGGCUCAACCGGGGAAGGUCAUUGGAAACUGGUUGACUUGAGUGCAGAAGAGGAGGGUGGAAUUCCAGGUGUAGCGGUGAAAUGCGUAGAUAUGUGGAGGAACACCGGUGGCGAAGGCGACUCUCUGGUCUGUAACUGACGCUGAGGCUCGAAAGCGUGGGUAGCAAACAGG
Molecule: ribosomal RNA, 429 nt
Filed under: Bacteroidota bacterium
Lineage: Bacteria; Pseudomonadati; Bacteroidota
Description: Bacteroidetes bacterium partial 16S ribosomal RNA
Rfam family: Bacterial small subunit ribosomal RNA
Source: RNAcentral